GAUGAUUAUCGCAAAAGGUUAUUCUGUAACUAAGAGAUAUCGACAACUCUCGAUAACUUGAAUCGUUAAAUUCCGAUAGUUAUCGAAGCCGCGUCGAUACGUUUGCGAUCGUUACCGGAGAUCUCGCUAAGCUAUUAACGACAGUCGGUGUGAGUCGAUAGUGCGUUAGUGUAUGUAUGAAAUGUAUACGUAUGCGUGUAAUACGUGUUCCCGCAACCAUAAUUUGGAGGUUAAGUUGGUGUCUGAUUGUGAAUAUAUCGAGUGGGCUACUCAUUGUCAGUUUUUGACAUCUUUUAAUUCGGUGAUUUUAAUUCUCUUAAGAAUUGGAAAUCCAUAGGGCAGCGUAAGAAGUUGAAAUUCUAUUAGGAAUUUUAAUUUAUUUAGAACGACCAAAAGAUGGCGCUUGGCUAUCUUGCUGCAGACUUAUACUAGUAAUUAUACUAGAAGAACGUGUCCAACGCUUAGAACAAAGGGCACAACAAUAACUAUUACAAACAACGGAAAAUCCGUUCAAUUUGACGAACAACGAAUUUAAGAAGCUGUACCGCCUAACACCAGAUUUAAUUUUUUAUUUAAUGGAUGCGUUAGAACCUUGACUUCAGAGAAUAAGGAUUACCGGGUUAUCUGCAGAAGAGCAAAUAUUAUCAGUAGUACGAUUUUAUGCGACUGGUUGUUUUCAACGUCCUGUGGGUGAGCAGUUGGGCAUUUUUAUGAGUCAAACAUCGAUCAACAGAUGUAUCCACAAAGUGACAGAUGCAAUCAACGAUUUGAUUUUUAGACAGUAGGUACAAUUUCUUAUAACUCCAGCAAGCAGGCAAUCAGCAAGAAUACAAUUUCAAAUGCACGUCAGCCAUUUGAAGGGGCUAUCGGAGCAAUUGUACUCACAUUGCAAUUCUUGCUCCGAAAGAGUAUGGAAAAGCCUACAUUAAUCAUCACGGAUAUCAUUCACUGAAUGUACAAAUGAUAUGUUAUCCGAAUUUAAAAAUAUUAAAUGUGAAUGCAAGAUAUUCCGGAGCACGACACGAUGUAUACAUAUGGAGUGCUUCUGCUGCACGCUGUUAUAGAACGCGCAUAUAAUCGCGGUGAACGACGAGCAUAUCUCAUUGAUGAUUCAGGUUAUUUUUUGAAUGGCUGUUAACUCCUUUGCCUCGAGAACCAGAAGAAACUCCACGUUUCAUGUAUAACGAAGCGUUGUGUAGCGCGAGAAAUUGUGUCGAACGGGUGUCGAACUUCAGUACACGCUUUUUGGUGUAUUGAAGUCUACCUGGAGAUGUUUUUCUUGACACAGGGUUUUGCAGUAUGAGCCUGGUUUCGCAGGAAGGAUUGUCAACGCUUGUGCAGUUUUCCAUAAUAUGCGGACUGCUCAUGGAAUAUUUGACUUGUCAUGAAUAGUCGAUAAAUUUGAUCGUGAUGAUCAUAUGUAUGAAAAUUGUAAUGAUGGUGACAUUAAUCCAGAUAACAGUUGUGGACCUCUUGCUAUUGCACGACGCAUACAAGACCAUUUAAUAGCAGAAAGAUUUGGCAGAUAAGAUUAUACAAAGCGUAACGUAAAUUUAAAAUUAAUCAGAAAAUAAAAAUAUUGGAUAAAACAAUUUAAU
Solenopsis invicta (red fire ant) is the source of this 1598-nucleotide long non-coding RNA. RefSeq lists it as uncharacterized. The record is from RefSeq and is a predicted model, not a curated record. Lineage: Eukaryota; Metazoa; Arthropoda; Insecta; Hymenoptera; Formicidae. The transcript has 5 exons.